Molecule: ribosomal RNA, 482 nt
Filed under: uncultured bacterium
Lineage: Bacteria
Description: SSU rRNA
Rfam family: Bacterial small subunit ribosomal RNA
Source: RNAcentral
AGGACGAACGCUGGCGGCGUGCUUAACACAUGCAAGUCGAACGAGAUCCAUCGAGUGGCAACACUCGUGAAGAUCUAGUGGCGAACGGGUGCGUAACACGUGAGAAACCCACCCCGAACUUCGGGAUAACAGGUGGAAACGCCUGCUAAUACCGGAUAUCUCCGCCGAGUCGCAUGGCUUGGCGAAGAAAGGUCAGCCGGUUCGGGACGGUCUCGCGGCCUAUCAGCUUGUUGGUGGGGUAAUGGCCUACCAAGGCAUCGACGGGUAGCUGGUCUGAGAGGAUGAUCAGCCACACUGGGACUGAGACACGGCCCAGACUCCUACGGGAGGCAGCAGUGGGGAAUCUUGCCCAAUGGGCGCAAGCCUGAGGCAGCAACGCCGCGUGCGGGAAGAAGGCCCUCGGGUUGUAAACCGCUUUCAGCAGGAACGAAAAUGACGGUACCUGCAGAAGAAGGUGCGGCCAACUACGUGCCAGCAGCCGC